CUUUAGAUUUGAAAAUUUUACUACCAUCUACUUUGAUUGUGAGAGUGUGUGGGUCUUUGAUUAUAGCUCUCUAAAAUUGAUAAUCAAAUACUUGAAUAUAAAUGUGCAUGCAUGCUUUCCAAUAAGUGUAGUUUGUUCCAUUGAACCAUGGUGGAUGGUUGGUCGAUUGCCUUUCGACAAGAGAUGCACUCAUUUGAAUUGCCAUUUGAUCUUAACUCUUGAUUGUUAAAUCAAAUGCAAAUGAGUACCGAGCUCUGAUACCA
RNAcentral lists this long non-coding RNA (263 nucleotides) under Elaeis guineensis (African oil palm). RNAcentral describes it as "long non-coding RNA (EGUI_LNC034111)". Lineage: Eukaryota; Viridiplantae; Streptophyta; Magnoliopsida; Arecales; Arecaceae. The record is from RNAcentral.